AGUUUUGAACUCAAGUGGCGGACGGGUGAGUAACACGUAAGAAUUUACCUUUAGGAGGGGGACAACAACUGGAAACGGUUGCUAAUACCCCAUAUGCUUUCGAGUGAAACGGAUUUCCGCCUAAAGAGAAGCUUGCGGCUGAUUAGCUUGUUGGUAAGGUAAUGGCUUACCAAGGCGACGAUCAGUAUCUGGUUUGAGAGGACGACCAGACACACUGGAACUGGGACACGGUCCAG
RNAcentral lists this ribosomal RNA (236 nucleotides) under uncultured bacterium. Its description in RNAcentral is "partial 16S ribosomal RNA". It matches the Rfam family "Bacterial small subunit ribosomal RNA", at positions 81 to 334 of the family's 1533-position model. The record is from RNAcentral.